AGGUGUGAUCUGAAUUCAGCUGCAUUGAAACCAGUAUGUGCCAGUUACAUUUGCACCAGAGUUUUUUCUCUGCUAGGAGCUGUGGGAAUAAAUCAGGAAUGUAACUUAAGAGCACAUUUGUGACCACAGAAUGCCUUGAAGAUCAGAUAGAAAAUAUGAGGUUAUGAUGUGUUCAGACCAUGGGAAAUCUGGACACAAUGAGAUGUUUCACUGCCUCAUCUGUAGGUGAGCCUCGCUCCCGUCUUUUGCGGAGUUCUGUAAUGCAACUCUCUGAAGCACAAAAUAAGUUUGCAUAGUGAUGUGACGUUGCUCAUCUGCUGGCAAGAAAAAAUUUCUGCUUAUUGAGGCUGGAUGCCUCAUGCUGUACACGGCACUUUUUCUGGAAUGUUUUAUUCACUCACUGAGCAUUUUGAGCUUUGGAAGUGACUCAUGACACAAAUCCCAGUACAUUUAACCUUUUUGACUUUAGAAUGUGUGCUUCCACCAUCAAACGUUUGUUGGAAUUUCCUGUUAGAACAGCAAUCUCUAAAUGUGGAGAUUCAGUGCCAGCAUCAGAACUGUCUGGUGAAAAUUCCUCUGACUGCUAUCAGCAUGGGGCAAAUAGCCUUAUUUUGCUACCUCCUCUUUGAGAUAAAAGUUUGGACAUGAGAAAGCAGCAUCUAAAACUUUGGAUGUAGUCACACUUCACUGGACUUCACCAAGAUGUUGUACAGAAACAACCAGUACGUUAGCUUAGCCUUUUCCCCUUACUGAACUUGACCAGAGCUUGUCUUCAACCAGCUUUAGUUGGUCAUUGCCCACUCCUGUGCUCACAAGGCUGCUGUUCAUCCAGUAAAUGGAAUAUUUACCUCACCAAAAUGUUGUCAAGUUGCAAUAGUUUUUAAACAACAUGCUUGGUCCUGUCUUCAUUCCUGAGUUCUUUUCUGUUAGGGCUGUGAGGAGAAAUGCUGAACUCAAAUGUCAUGCAGUUUGACUUAACAGUCUUGGGCAUCUUUUUGGCAUGACCUGUUGUAAUGCCUGGAAAUCUUUUGCAUAGAAUAAUGGAUAUGAAUUUUAAUCCUCUAUUGAAGCAUUCACAGGAAGUGUUUUAAGUUAUUUGUAAUAUCCAUCUUGCCUUUCUGUGAAACUGUACAUCUUCCUUCCCUAAGACUUUCUACAUCAGACUGUAGCCUAGGUAACCUAUUAUAUAGCCCCUCGCAAAUGAGGUGCUUAUGUUGGAAAUAGUACCAAAAUAUAACAUCAGGAAGGUGUUGCUGUAAUUAGUGUUUGUGCUGAAAGGGAUAGACAGGCAUUCUUAGGUUUUCUUUUUUUUUAUGGAUAAGAAAUAUAACAAUAUAUUAUCUCAUGAUAACAUGAUUCCAAU
Long non-coding RNA from Gallus gallus (chicken), 1363 nucleotides. The record is from Ensembl. NCBI's taxonomy places the organism in Eukaryota, Metazoa, Chordata, Aves, Galliformes, Phasianidae.